RNAcentral lists this ribosomal RNA (250 nucleotides) under uncultured bacterium. RNAcentral's name for it is "partial 16S ribosomal RNA". It matches the Rfam family "Bacterial small subunit ribosomal RNA", at positions 524 to 773 of the family's 1533-position model. The record is from RNAcentral.
UACGGAGGGGGCUAGCGUUGUUCGGAAUUACUGGGCGUAAAGCGCACGUAGGCGGCUUUGUAAGUUAGAGGUGAAAGCCCGGGGCUCAACCCCGGAAUAGCCUUUAAGACUGCAUCGCUUGAACACGGGAGAGGUGAGUGGAAUUCCGAGUGUAGAGGUGAAAUUCGUAGAUAUUCGGAAGAACACCAGUGGCGAAGGCGGCUCACUGGACCGUUGUUGACGCUGAGGUGCGAAAGCGUGGGGAGCAAAC